UACGUAGGCAGCGAGCGUUGUUCGGAAUUACUGGGCGUAAAGCGUGCGUAGGCGGUGUUCCCAGUCUGUUGUGAAAUCUCCCGGCUUAACUGGGAGGGUGCAGCGGAAACUAGAAUGCUAGAGGGUGGGAGAGGUAAGCGGAAUUCCUGGUGUAGCGGUGAAAUGCGUAGAUAUCAGGAGGAACACCUGUGGUGUAGACGGCUCUCUGGACCGCAACUGACGCUGAGACACGAAAGCGUGGGUAGCAAACAGG
This 253-nucleotide ribosomal RNA is filed under the name uncultured bacterium. RNAcentral's name for it is "partial 16S ribosomal RNA". It matches the Rfam family "Bacterial small subunit ribosomal RNA", at positions 524 to 776 of the family's 1533-position model. The record is from RNAcentral.